UACGUAGGUGGCAAGCGUUGUCCGGAUUUACUGGGCGUAAAGAGCGCGCAGGCGGUCGGAUAAGUCGAAUGUGAAAGCCCCCGGCUCAACUGGGGAGGGUCAUUCGAUACUGUUCGACUCGAAGGCAGGAGAGGGAAGUGGAAUUCCCGGUGUAGUGGUGAAAUGCGUAGAUAUCGGGAGGAACACCAGUGGCGAAGGCGGCUCUCUGGUACGUGACUGACGCUGAGACGCGAAAGCGUGGGGAGCGAACAGG
Molecule: ribosomal RNA, 253 nt
Filed under: uncultured bacterium
Lineage: Bacteria
Description: partial 16S ribosomal RNA
Rfam family: Bacterial small subunit ribosomal RNA
Source: RNAcentral